RNAcentral lists this unclassified non-coding RNA (187 nucleotides) under uncultured fungus. Its description in RNAcentral is "sequence contains ITS1". The record is from RNAcentral. Lineage: Eukaryota; Fungi.
UUAACGAUUGUAUAGCAUUCUGACACCACUGAUCACAGAGUUGGGUCCCCUGGCAGGCGCUCUCCAGCCGGAGCCGGCGCGGGACCGCGGCCUGCCAAAGCAACAGGGAAUGAUACACAGGGUGGUGAGUCCAGCCGCGGGGGCUGGCGUCACUGUAAUGAUCCUUCCGCAGGUUCACCUACGGAAA